Aethalodelphis obliquidens (Pacific white-sided dolphin) is the source of this 3191-nucleotide RNA transcript. It is a transcript of the gene named proliferation-associated 2G4, with no coding region annotated. The record is from RefSeq and is a predicted model, not a curated record. The transcript is spliced from 16 exons. NCBI's taxonomy places the organism in Eukaryota, Metazoa, Chordata, Mammalia, Artiodactyla, Delphinidae.
GUUUGAUAGCCCGCGAGGGGGGCUAGAGCCUGGCGGUAGGAGGGACUCGUUGUCCCAGCGUGCCCUGCGCCUCAGCCCGCGCGCUCGCAGUUUCUCGCUCUCGCCCGCCCUCCGCUCCCUAGCUUGCUCGCGCUUUUGCUCGCGCUCUCCUCGCGGAUCGAAGGGACUGUGGCUACAGCCUGUGGCUGGGAAGGGCGACAGAGGCGGCGGUUCAGGAGAAACGAAGCUGCAGGGGUGGUGGUGGUGAGAAGAUGUCGGGCGAGGACGAGCAGCAGGAGCAAACUAUCGCCGAGGACCUGGUCGUGACCAAGUAUAAGAUGGGGGGCGACAUUGCCAACCGGGUACUUCGGUCUUUGGUGGAAGCAUCCUGUUCAGGUGUGUCGGUACUGAGCCUGUGUGAGAAAGGUGAUGCCAUGAUAAUGGAAGAGACAGGGAAGAUUUUCAAAAAAGAAAAAGAAAUGAAGAAAGGUAUUGCCUUUCCCACCAGCAUUUCAGUAAAUAACUGUGUAUGUCACUUCUCCCCUUUGAAGAGCGACCAGGACUAUAUUCUCAAGGAAGGUGACUUGGUAAAAAUCGACCUUGGGGUCCAUGUGGAUGGCUUCAUCGCUAAUGUGGCUCACACUUUUGUGGUUGAUGUAGCUCUGGGGACCCAAGUAACAGGGCGGAAAGCAGAUGUCAUUAAGGCAGCUCACCUUUGUGCUGAAGCUGCCCUACGCCUGGUCAAACCUGGAAACCAGAACACACAAGUGACAGAAGCCUGGAACAAAGUUGCCCACUCAUUUAAUUGCACACCAAUAGAAGGUAUGCUGUCACACCAAUUGAAGCAGCAUGUCAUCGAUGGAGAGAAAACCAUUAUCCAGAAUCCCACAGACCAGCAGAAGAAGGACCAUGAGAAAGUUGAAUUUGAGGUACAUGAAGUAUAUGCUGUGGAUGUUCUCGUCAGCUCAGGAGAGGGCAAGGCCAAGGAUGCAGGACAGAGAACCACCAUUUACAAAAGAGACCCUUCUAAGCAGUAUGGCCUGAAAAUGAAAACUUCUCGUGCCUUCUUCAGUGAGGUUGAAAGGCGUUUUGAUGCCAUGCCUUUUACUUUAAGAGCAUUUGAAGAUGAGAAGAAGGCCCGCAUGGGUGUGGUGGAGUGCGCCAAACACGAACUGCUACAACCAUUUAAUGUUCUCUAUGAGAAGGAGGGUGAAUUUGUUGCCCAGUUUAAAUUUACAGUUUUGCUUAUGCCCAAUGGCCCCAUGCGGAUAACCAGUGGUCCCUUUGAGCCUGACCUUUAUAAGUCUGAGAUGGAGGUCCAGGAUGCAGAGCUCAAGGCCCUCCUCCAGAGUUCGGCAAGUCGGAAAACCCAGAAAAAGAAAAAAAAGAAGGCCUCUAAGACUGCAGAGAAUGCCACCAGUGGGGAAACUUUAGAAGAAAAUGAAGCUGGGGACUGAGGGCCAGCCUGAGAUUGGAUGGGUAAUUUGUAUUAGAGCUGCUUCCGCAUGAGGCAUUGCUGACCUGAAGAUACUAUGCUGAGUGAAACUGAACACAUCCCUUCAUGAGAACUUACAGAGAGUGGGCAAUCAACAGGUGAGAUCCCAGUGGAUUUGAUAUAAAAACAAUCCUGGGGUUUUUUGUUUUCAAACACAUUACCUUCUGCUGGUGACAAUACUAGAACCGCUUAGGCACUUGGAACAAGGGCCCUAAAUUUAGAAACCUUGUUUUUCCAGAGCUAAAAAGUGAAAUUUUAUAAAGAGAAACCACUAAAAAAGGGAUUAUAACAAGCCGUACCGUAUCUUACAGUGAAUAAGGUGAAGUCUGUAUGAUGAAGAGUUCUCUUUCAUCCAUAACUGUAGCCAAAUCUUUGGGUGUCUUUUCCGGGUACUUCUGACCUAACCAUACCGUGAGACUGGGAAGUUGUCUUGCCACCAAAUACCAUUCUUGCCCUAAAGAAACGUGUAGCUCAUCUUGCUUCCCCUCUGUCCAUUGAUUUGAUCUUCACCCUAUGCAGAAGGAGAAUCACUUAAGUAUUUUCUGAACAAGAUGCAUCGUGGCCAGGAAUAUAGUGAUAAUCUGCCUCAGGCAUUGUAGAGAAAGACCGGACUUGGCUAGGAAAAGAGUUUAUCUUCGAUAGUUACAAAGUUCUCUGUAGUAUGACAGCUUUCUCGACUCCUCACUUUACAUCCUUUCAAUGUUCUGAAAUCUUAGGACCUUUGUAAGUUCCAAGAUCGAAUCUCCCUGCAGCAAUUUAGUUUAGAAAAUAAGGUAAACCAGUAAAACAAAUCAGGAGUUUUUGUUCAAUCUGCACCUAUCCAUAGUAAAAUGGAGGAUAUCGCCAACAAACUGCAACUCCCAUGAAGCAAUGAGAGGGAAGGCGGAAGUAGCUGCCCUUUGCUCGUUUGCACCUCUAGGUCUCUUAUUGGAAAUAUGUGCUCAUAUUUAAAUAAUACAGUAUCCUCAUAAUAAAACUGGGGAAAGGGGAAUUUUGUAACUCAAACUCAAAAUACUGUUUUCCAACAGAACUUUCCUAAUUCAAUCACUUCUCAGAUACCUAAGGCCGAAACCCAUUGUUACUCCCCUCGGGCAGCCCCGCCCCUAGGGGCAGGGCGAGACAGCGGAAAUGACGACAAUGAGCGUUCCAUUAAAUAUCCGUAGGCGGGCCUCUAGCCCUCUCUCGGCCUUAGCGCCAUCUUCGGAGGUGAGUGUCUGUGCUGCUGUGUUCGGUUUCCGAGUACAAUCCACUAACAUCUGAUCUCUGCAGUUACCAUCGUUAUAGCAAACUAACUGCAGACUUUUUUUCUUUCCCCGUAGAAACCUCCGCGCCAUGAGAGCGAAGUGGAGGAAGAAGCGAAUGCGCAGGCUGAAGCGCAAAAGAAGAAAGAUGAGGCAGAGGUCCAAGUAAACUUGUACACCCAUGGAAGCCACAGGAGCAGAAACACGGGACGCCAGAGGCCAGGGACGCUGGUACAAAUUGUUGGACUGCUUGCCUACUGUCUAGAAUUUGUCUCAGUGGAUCUGGAACAUCGAUGGCCAUUCUGAUCGCCUCGACCGCCUUUGAGAGACCCACUUUGCUCGUAUCAAAACGGCCCCUUUUGGCCCUUUGCCCUGGACCUUUUGACAUACUGGACUAGUUCUAUUCUCAGUUGUGGCUGAAUGUAACAUGUAACAAUAAAUCAUAUCUUUUGCUGUCUUAGCUGAAGAAAAAAAUU